AUUGAACGCUGGCGGCAUGCUUUACACAUGCAAGUCGAACGGCAGCACGGGUGCUUGCACCUGGUGGCGAGUGGCGGACGGGUGAGUAAUGCAUCGGAACGUGUCCUUAAGUGGGGGAUAACGCAUCGAAAGAUGUGCUAAUACCGCAUAAUCUCUGAGGAGAAAAGUAGGGGAUCGAAAGACCUUAUGCUUUUGGAGCGGCCGAUGUCUGAUUAGCUAGUUGGUAAGGUAACGGCUUACCAAGGCGACGAUCAGUAGUUGGUCUGAGAGGACGACCAGCCACACUGGGACUGAGACACGGCCCAGACUCCUACGGGAGGCAGCAGUGGGGAAUUUUGGACAAUGGGCGCAAGCCUGAUCCAGCAAUGCCGCGUGAGUGAAGAAGGCCUUCGGGUUGUAAAGCUCUUUUAGCUGAAAAGAAAAAAUCGUGACUAAUAAUCACGAUUUAUGACGGUAUCAACAGAAAAAGCACCGGCUAACUACGUG
RNAcentral lists this ribosomal RNA (486 nucleotides) under uncultured bacterium. RNAcentral describes it as "bacterial SSU rRNA". It matches the Rfam family "Bacterial small subunit ribosomal RNA", at positions 30 to 507 of the family's 1533-position model. The record is from RNAcentral.